RNAcentral lists this transfer RNA (102 nucleotides) under Aspergillus vadensis CBS 113365. Its description in RNAcentral is "tRNA-Ser". It matches the Rfam family "tRNA". Rfam says of the family: Transfer RNA (tRNA) molecules are approximately 80 nucleotides in length. Their secondary structure includes four short double-helical elements and three loops (D, anti-codon, and T loops). The record is from RNAcentral. Lineage: Eukaryota; Fungi; Ascomycota; Eurotiomycetes; Eurotiales; Aspergillaceae.
GAUACUUUGGCCGAGUGAUUAAGGCAGGCCUGCUACUACAUCUUCGUACUAGCAGUUUAGCCUGUGGGUUCGCUCGCCUGGGUUCGAGUCCCAGAGGUGUCG